RNAcentral lists this non-coding RNA (30 nucleotides) under Rattus norvegicus (Norway rat). The record is from RNAcentral. Lineage: Eukaryota; Metazoa; Chordata; Mammalia; Rodentia; Muridae.
UAAGAAAUCCCAACCUGUCACCUACUUAAG